AUACGGAAGGUCCGGGCGUUAUCCGGAUUUAUUGGGUUUAAAGGGAGCGCAGGCGGAGAUGCAAGCGUGACGUCAAAUUUCGGGGCUCAACCCCGUCUCGCGUCGCGAACUGCGUCCCUUGGUUGCGGGAAGGGGAGGCGGAACUCGGGGUGUAGCGGGGAAAUGCAUAGAUAUCACGAAGAACUCCGAUCGCGAAGGCAGCCUUCCGGCCCGUCAACGACGCUUAUGCUCGAAGGUGCGGGUAUCAAACAGGAUUAGAUACCCUGGUAGUCCGCACAGUAAACGAUGGACACCCGCGGUUUGGCCUGUAUGGCUGAGCCGCCAAGCGAAAGCGUUAAGUGUCCCACCUGGGGAGUACGCCGGCAACGGUGAAACUCAAAGGAAUUGACGGGG
RNAcentral lists this ribosomal RNA (393 nucleotides) under uncultured bacterium. RNAcentral describes it as "partial 16S ribosomal RNA". It matches the Rfam family "Bacterial small subunit ribosomal RNA", at positions 523 to 918 of the family's 1533-position model. The record is from RNAcentral.